This 1457-nucleotide long non-coding RNA is filed under the name Oreochromis niloticus (Nile tilapia). Its description in RNAcentral is "lncRNA (ENSONIG00000028109.1)". The record is from RNAcentral. Lineage: Eukaryota; Metazoa; Chordata; Actinopteri; Cichliformes; Cichlidae.
CAGAGGCAUGGUUAAAUUCCCAUUCCCUGCUUAAUCUUCAACCAUUCCUUUGUCUUUAUGAUGCAGAGUCACUACAAUUGAUAUAAACUAAUGAACAUAUACAUUUAUAGACUGGAGAUUAAUACUAAAAUCCAAAUUGCAAAAUAGUUUAGCCAGAAAACUUUAUGAUUCUGGCAUCGAAAAUGUAAGACCGCAGCGACUGAAACGUGCAGUGCUGGUUCGGGAUUAAGAGGAGCUUCACAUAUAGAAACGAUCCAGUUUAGUAUACAUAUGAUACAUGAUGCUUUUUUUUUUUCUUUCUUUCUUUUUUUUUUUAUGGUUUAUUUUAUUUUCAGCGGACCCGCAGAAUCAGCAGAUGGUGGAAGACGUGAAGGCUGCUCCUUGGUGUUGAACUACAGACGAGGAGCCCCGUGCCCAUUGGCUUCGUGGAAAUGUGGCGAGGGGGGAGCGGGGCUUCCUGCGCUAUAAAAGCGGAAUGUGCGCGCGUGGAGAGGACGGUACCUUCAGUCAGUCGACCGGUGCGCAUCACAAAUAUCCACACGCAGACACGCACAGCGAAGCCAUGAGUGAGAGACAAGCAUCUGGCCCAAUGACCGGAAACAGCAAAGCAUCUGGCCAAGGUAUUUUUAAACAGAAUAUUAACAAUGUGAAGUUUUUACCAAAGAUUAGAUUGUUUAAAAGACAACCAUGUAUAAAUCUUUACACACUAAAGUGACCUCAACACCACAAACACAAGGUAAUUUUCUCAUACAUUCUCUACUUCUGCGUGGUUUCAUUUAAAGCACUGCAUAAGUGUUUUUAAAGCACAUUAUAGGUUUUAUAUUAUCCACAGCUGUGAACAUGGUGGAAAAGAUCUACAGCAAAAUAAGCACAUUUUUUGUAUUUACUAAGCACAGUUCUUGAGUAAAUGUACCCACACUAUGUGACGUGUAACUCAGAAAUAAAAAACAGAGUUCAAGUGUUUGGGCAUUUUUGCAUAUUUAAUUUUAAGAUAUAUUCUUCUUUAAACCAUCAAGUUAAAACAACAAACUGAGAGACAACUGUGUGCUGUGAGGAGAAGGACCCAAGUGCUGACACACGAAAGAACAAAACUUGAGCUUUAAAAAAAAUGAGCUGUUUAUUCGAGGCUGGUGAAACUACAAAACAAAAGGGCAAUGGUGAAACUAAACUAUAACCUAAACUGGGUGAUCUAACGCUAACACAAAAAAACCUGGAACAUGAACGUGGAAACCCAGCAUGAAAAACCUGGAACGUGAAGACUUGACAUAAAUACAUGAAAUCCCUGGAAACAUGGAUGUAGUAACAAGCACACAUAGCAGGAAAGCAGGCUAAGCAGACAAAGAGAGACUAAAUACACACAGGAGGUGAUCAGGGGAAGUGGACAUAAUGACGCCACAGGGGAAGUGAAACUAAAUACACUGAACAUAGAACACCAGACCUCUUCAAAAUAAAACAGG